Prunus mume (Japanese apricot) is the source of this 149-nucleotide non-coding RNA. The record is from RefSeq and is a predicted model, not a curated record. NCBI's taxonomy places the organism in Eukaryota, Viridiplantae, Streptophyta, Magnoliopsida, Rosales, Rosaceae.
AGGACGAUGCUGCAAGUUCAGAUGUUGGUACAACCAUUCCUGAUAAGGUUGCUAGUCGUGAAGAUUUCGAGGCAUUGAUCCCUGAGGAUCCCGACGACUGGACAGAAGAGAUGUGGGACUAUUGUUACCAACAGGAACAGGAGGAUAUG